AGGGAAUCUUCCGCAAUGGACGAAAGUCUGACGGAGCAACGCCGCGUGAGCGAUGAAGGCCUUCGGGUCGUAAAGCUCUGUUGUCAGGGAAGAACAAGUGCGGGAGUAACUGCCCGCACCUUGACGGUACCUGACCAGAAAGCCACGGCUAACUACGUGCCAGCAGCCGCGGUAAUACGUAGGUGGCAAGCGUUGUCCGGAAUUAUUGGGCGUAAAGCGCGCGCAGGCGGUCCCUUAAGUCUGAUGUGAAAGCCCCCGGCUUAACCGGGGAGGGUCAUUGGAAACUGGGGGACUUGAGUGCAGAAGAGAAGAGCGGAAUUCCAUGUGUAGCGGUGAAAUGCGCAGAGAUAUGGAGGAACACCAGUGGCGAAGGCGGCUCUUUGGUCUGUAACUGACGCUGAGGCGCGAAAGCGUGGGGAGCAAAC
Molecule: ribosomal RNA, 425 nt
Filed under: uncultured bacterium
Lineage: Bacteria
Description: bacterial SSU rRNA
Rfam family: Bacterial small subunit ribosomal RNA
Source: RNAcentral